AUUGAACGCUGGCGGCAUGCCUUACACAUGCAAGUCGAACGGCAGCGGACCUUCGGGUGCCGGCGAGUGGCGAACGGGUGAGUAAAGUAUCGGAACGUACCUUUCAGUGGGGGAUAACGUAGCGAAAGUUACGCUAAUACCGCAUAUUCUGUGAGCAGGAAAGCAGGGGAUCGCAAGACCUUGCGCUGAUUGAGCGGCCGAUAUCAGAUUAGCUAGUUGGUGAGGUAAAGGCUCACCAAGGCGACGAUCUGUAGCGGGUCUGAGAGGAUGAUCCGCCACACUGGAACUGAGAAACGGUCCAGACUCCUACGGGAGGAAGCAGUGGGGAAUUUUGGACAAUGGGGGCAACCCUGAUCCAGCCAUGCCGCGUGAGUGAAGAAGGCCUUCGGGUUGUAAAGCUCUUUCGUCCGGGAAGAAAUCGCAUCAGCUAAUACCUGGUGUGGAUGACGGUACCGGAAUAAGAAGCACCGGCUAACUACGUGCCAGCAGCCGCCGUAA
RNAcentral lists this ribosomal RNA (498 nucleotides) under uncultured bacterium. RNAcentral describes it as "partial 16S ribosomal RNA". It matches the Rfam family "Bacterial small subunit ribosomal RNA", at positions 30 to 523 of the family's 1533-position model. The record is from RNAcentral.